UACGGAGGGUGCGAGCGUUGUCCGGAAUCAUUGGGCGUAAAGGGCGCGUAGGUGGCGGCUUAAGCGUGCGGUGAAAGCUCGGGGCUCAACCCCGAGUCGGCCGUGCGAACUGAGUCGCUUGAGCACUGUAGAGGCAGGCGGAAUUCCGGGUGUAGCGGUGGAAUGCGUAGAGAUCCGGAAGAACACCGGUGGCGAAGGCGGCCUGCUGGGCAGUAGCUGACACUGAGGCGCGACAGCGUGGGAGCAAC
Molecule: ribosomal RNA, 248 nt
Filed under: uncultured bacterium
Lineage: Bacteria
Description: partial 16S ribosomal RNA
Rfam family: Bacterial small subunit ribosomal RNA
Source: RNAcentral